AGAGUUUGAUCCUGGCUCAGGACGAACGCUGGCGGCGUGCUUAACACAUGCAAGUCGAACGGAUCAAGUGUAGCAAUAUGCUUGGUUAGUGGCGAACGGGUGAGUAACACGUGACUAAUCUGCCCCAGACUGUGGAACAACGGAGGGAAACUUCCGCUAAUACCGCAUAUUGAAACGGGUUCGCAUGGAUCUGUUUUGAAAGAUUUAUCGGUCUGGGAUGAGGUCGCGCCCCAUUAGCUUGUUGGCGAAGUAACGGCUCACCAAGGCUACGAUGGGUAGCUGGUCUGAGAGGAUGAUCAGCCACACUGGGACUGAGAUACGGCCCAGACUCCUAUGGGAGGCAGCAGUGAGGAGUAUUGCGCAAUGGACGAAAGUCUGACGCAGCAACGCCGCGUGAGGGAUGAAGGUGCUUUGCAUUGUAAACCUCUGUAGGGAGGGACGAAUCGUCCGGCUUCUGCCGGAUUUGACGGUACCUCCAAAGUAAGCACCGGCUAACUCCGUGCCAGCAGCCGCGGUAAUACGGAGGGUGCAAGCGUUGUCCGGAUUUACUGGGUGUAAAGGGCGUGUAGGCGGGAAAAUGUGUCGGAAGUGAAAUCGCGCGGCUUAACCGUGUCAAUUGCUUCCGAAACUGUUUUUCUUGAGUGCGAGAGAGGUAGAUGGAAUUCCAGGUGUAGCGGUGGAAUGCGUAGAUAUCUGGAAGAACACCAGUGGCGAAGGCGGUCUACUGGCUCGCAACUGACGCUGAGGCGCGAAAGUGUGGGGAGCAAACAGGAUUAGAUACCCUGGUAGUCCACACCGUAAACUAUGGUCACUAGAUGUCGGGGGACUCGACCCCUUCGGUAUCGACGCUAACGCAUUAAGUGACCCACCUGGGGAGUACGCUCGCAAGGGUGAAACUCAAAGGAAUUGACGGGGGCCCGCACAAGCGGUGGAGCAUGUGGUUUAAUUCGAUGCAACGCGAAGAACCUUACCUGGGCUCGAAGUGCCGUGUAAACCCAUGAAAGUGGGCUACUCCCGCAAGGGAGACGCGGUAUAGGUGCUGCAUGGCUGUCGUCAGCUCGUGUCGUGAGAUGUUAGGUUAAGUCCUGCAACGAGCGCAACCCUUGUCCUUAGUUGCCAACAGGUUAUGCUGGGAACUCUAAGGAGACUGCCGACGUUAAGUCGGAGGAAGGUGGGGAUGACGUCAAGUCCUCAUGGCCCUUACGUCCAGGGCUACACACGUGCUACAAUGGCCGGUACAGAGCGUCGCAAGACCGCAAGGUGGAGCUAAUCGCAGAAAACCGGUCUCAGUUCAGAUUGCACUCUGCAACUCGAGUGCAUGAAGUCGGAAUCGCUAGUAAACGCGGAUCAGCAGGUCGCGUUGAAUACGUUCCCGGGCCUUGUACACACCGCCCGUCACACCAUGGGAGUCGGAAGGACCCAAAGGGCCUACGCCAACCGCAAGGAGGCAGGGUCUCAAGGUCAGGCCGAUGACUGGGGUGAAGUCGGAACAAGGUA
Molecule: ribosomal RNA, 1497 nt
Filed under: metagenome
Description: bacterial SSU rRNA
Rfam family: Bacterial small subunit ribosomal RNA
Source: RNAcentral